Acanthosepion pharaonis is the source of this 113-nucleotide non-coding RNA. The record is from the annotation of a GenBank genome assembly. Lineage: Eukaryota; Metazoa; Mollusca; Cephalopoda; Sepiida; Sepiidae.
UUACGGCCAUAUCAUAUUGAAACACCGGUUCUCGUAUGAUCACUAACGUUAAGCAACGUCGAGCCUGGUCAGUACGUAGAUGGGUGACUGCUUAGGAAUACCAGGCGCUGUAC